GUAUGUGGCUAAAGGAGCUAAAUUUGAAGAACCCUCCGAAAAAACAUACUCUGUUCUUUUCAUUUUGUGGACGGCAGACCAUCAGACCAAUACCCUUACCCCGAGAAAUGGUUGGGAUAUGUUAUUCCUCCGGCGAAAAAGGCUCGUCGGAUGCUUGUGAGGCUCCAAGAACCCUCAACCAGCUCUGCAAUCCAGGAGACUGAUAGGAUGACACCCAGUGAUGCUUCUACACAGGGGAAGUAUACAUUUAUUGAAGAUCACAUCUAUGCUGUCAGAGACUCACUCCAUUUUCCUCUCCUCCAUGACCAGGCAACACAGUGUCCUGAACAACAUCUUGUACACACCGUACUUCUCCGCAAUGAUCAGCUGUGUCUACUGUACACUGGGUUGUCAGUGGAUGCCUUUGAGGCUUUAUCCGACGUCCUGAAAGAAAGAUGCAGCAUCUCUUAGGGUUUCUGGAGUAUCUGCGUCCAGGUGAUGAGGUGAUGGCUGACCGAGGAUUCGUUAUCCAAGAUCUUCUGUUUGAACGUAAAGUCAAGCUCGUCCUGCCAGCUUUCACCAGAAGAGGCCUUCCCUUGUCCGAAGAAGACACCACCAACACGAGGCGCAAAGCCAACGUCCAAGUGCACGUUGAGAGGGUCAUACGCCACCUGAAGAACUAUAGAAUAGUCUCUCAAACAGUGCCUAUUAACCUUGCCCCAAAAUUUGACAAGAUUCUGAGAGUCUGCAGGUCUAAGUAAUAGGGAUGGGCGUGCGGAAUUGAUUACUCGAGUACUCCUCGUUACAAAUGAACUCGGUUGGUGGACAGGCAAACUCGAGUUUGCAUAUACA
Long non-coding RNA from Gadus morhua (Atlantic cod), 831 nucleotides. RefSeq lists it as uncharacterized. The record is from RefSeq and is a predicted model, not a curated record. The transcript has 2 exons. Lineage: Eukaryota; Metazoa; Chordata; Actinopteri; Gadiformes; Gadidae.